CCCUUAGAUGUUCUGGGCCGCACGCGCGCUACACUGACGAAGUCAGCGAGCAUCUCCUACGCCGAAAGGUGCGGGGAAUCUUGUGAAACUUUGUCGUGCUGGGGAUUGAUUUUUGAAAUUCUUGAUCAUCAACGAGGAAUUCCUAGUAAGCGCAAGUCAGCAGCUUGCGUUGAUUACGUCCCUGCCCUUUGUACACACCGCCCGUCGCUACUACGGAUUGAAUGGUUUAGUGAGAUUUUUGGACUGGAACUCUCUUGUUCAGCAAUGAACGAGAGGGACUCUGGGAAGCUAUUCUAACUGUAUCAUUUAGAGGAAGUAAAAGUCGUAACA
This 330-nucleotide ribosomal RNA is filed under the name uncultured eukaryote. RNAcentral describes it as "partial 18S ribosomal RNA". It matches the Rfam family "Eukaryotic small subunit ribosomal RNA", at positions 1470 to 1796 of the family's 1831-position model. The record is from RNAcentral.